GACUGUAGCUGAUGUUGAGUCUUCCAAGCCUACCUGUGACGCCUCGCCUGAUAUUACUAGGUGAACGACAAGGUAAUCAUCAAAAGUGGAUGGUCAGCAUUGAAUCCUUAAUCGUUUGUGAAGGGUCCAACCUCGCCACAUUUCUAACAGGGAUUGCGACAUGUUUCUCCACCUUCUACAGUAUAUUCUGAAUCUGCAAUAUCAGGAGGAGGCAGCGUGCACCCUUGAAUUCUUCCAGAGAAAAAGGCCCAGAAGAAGCCUAAGAACAAUCACUAAUAAGUAAAGUGAAUGUUACUUGAUUUCUCAUGAAUGUUACUUGAUUCCCUCCCUGAUUAUCAUUUAUACUCAUCUCUUACUUUAAAUUCUUCUGGACAUAAUCUGUCAGUUUAUUCAUUCUCACAUGUACACAAGGCCAAUGCGAUGCAAUGAUAUUGAUAAACAUCUGUGAUGAUUAUUCUGUAUCUUAUUUGAUUUUGAAAUAGUACUACUUUAGAUAACAUGUCUACAUUUUACAUACAUAUGUGAUACACAAGCCUAAUGCGAUGUUUUUAUUUUCCAUGAUAAUUCUUUUGUACCUUAUUUC
Molecule: long non-coding RNA, 583 nt
Organism: Alosa alosa (allis shad)
Lineage: Eukaryota; Metazoa; Chordata; Actinopteri; Clupeiformes; Clupeidae
Exons: 3
Source: RefSeq, a predicted model, not a curated record